ACAGACGAGUUUGAUCAUGGCUCAGGAUGAACGCUGGCGGCAGGCCUAAUACAUGCAAGUCGAACGGGAUCCGGUGUAGUAAUACACUGGUGAGAGUGGCGCACGGGUGCGUAACACGUAUGCAACCUACCUUUAACCGGGACACAACCUCCGAAAGGGGGGCUAAUAUUCCAUGUGAUUAUUUUUUGGCAUCAAGAGAUAAUUAAAGAUUUAUUGGUUAAAGAUGGGCAUGCGUCCCAUUAGCUAGUUGGUGAGGUAACGGCUCACCAAGGCUAUGAUGGGUAGGGGUUCUGAGAGGAUAUACCCCCACACUGGUACUGAGACACGGACCAGACUCCUACGGGAGGCAGCAGUAAGGAAUAUUGGUCAAUGGGCGCAAGCCUGAACCAGCCAUGCCGCGUGCAGGAAGACGGCCCUAUGGGUUGUAAACUGCUUUUGUCAGGGGAUAAACCUAUCCACGAGUUGGGUAGCUGAAGGUACCUGAAGAAUAAGGAUCGGCUAACUCCGUG
RNAcentral lists this ribosomal RNA (509 nucleotides) under uncultured bacterium. RNAcentral's name for it is "bacterial SSU rRNA". It matches the Rfam family "Bacterial small subunit ribosomal RNA", at positions 1 to 507 of the family's 1533-position model. The record is from RNAcentral.